GAUGAACGCUGGCGGCGUGCCUAAUACAUGCAAGUCGAGCGAACAGACGAGGAUCUUGCUCCUCUGACGUUAGCGGCGGACGGGUGAGUAACACGUGGAUAACCUACCUAUAAGACUUAGAUAACUGCGGGAAACCGGAGCUAAUACCGGAAAAUAUAUUGAACCGCAUGGUUCAAUAGUGAAAGACGGUUUUGCUGUCACUUAUACAUGAAUCCGCGCCGCAUUAGCUAGUUGGUAAGGUAACGGCUUACCAAGGCGACGAUGCGUAGCCGACGUGAGAGGGUGGUCGGCCACACUGGAACUGGGACACGGUCCAGACUACUACGGGAGGCAGCAGUAGGGAAUCUACCGCAGUGGGCGAAAGCCUGACGGAGCAACGCCGCGUGAGUGAUGAAAGUCUUCGGAUCGUAAAACUAUGUUAUUAGGGAAGAACAAAUGUGUAAGUAACUAGGCACGUGUUGACGGUACCUAAUCAGAAAGCCACGGCUAACUACGUG
Molecule: ribosomal RNA, 497 nt
Filed under: uncultured bacterium
Lineage: Bacteria
Description: partial 16S ribosomal RNA
Rfam family: Bacterial small subunit ribosomal RNA
Source: RNAcentral